CCACACUCCCGAUCCAGCUUCUCUCUCUCCUUGGAACUUCCAACCCGUCUCGGUGUGAGGCAUCUCUGCCUCUCCGGUCUUUCAAGCCCUACCCAUCCCCCACCGCCGAGCUCCUUGCCCAGCAACCUGCAACUAGCAAACCCGUCUCCCGGCCUCCGGUCUCCGAUCUCCACCUCGAGCCCUCCAGACUCCCUAUCCAGCUUCUCUCCUUUCAACUCUGCAACUAGCAAACCCGUCUCCGGUCUCCGAUCUCCGCCUCCAGCCCUCCAGCCUCCAGACUUGCAGUUUGUAACUCGGUCACUGUCUCACUGAGGUUAGUGAGGAGAAGCUCUCAGAAGCAGAGGCCACAAGCCCACAACUUCAUUGAGAAACGAUGAAAAAAAAAAAGUGAUACAUAUAGUUCAUUGGAUCCCCAAGUACCGUUCCUUCCCUCGGUCGAAGUUUCAGUGAAGGCUUUACUUGGUAUAUCAUCAGCAGCUCUACCUGCAGCUCCAAGUGCAUCAAUGCGAAUUUUAUUCCGUGGACAUCAUCCAUAGUGAGUUGGAACUGCAAAAAGAGAUCUGGUUUGGAGGACUGCUGCAAAUACACCCUAGUAUUGGAGUUCUUUUGCUACUUGUCCUGCAUCACCAAUGCUGUGAUAAGGGUUCUCUCAUGCAAUGUAAUUUGGAAUCAAGCUUAGGUUUCUGAAUCGAAGCUGCAACACAUGUUCCAAAUGCUGACUGAUGCAUGAAUUAGUGUGCAGACCAUAUGGUUACAGGAUAAACUACCACGGCCAGGCGACAAUGAUGAAAAUUGACAAAGAAAAUAGUAAUCCUGACAUCAGGAUUAAAGCUUCACAUUGUGUCACCAGGUGAUUCCAACUCUGGGAGUUUCUUUUGGAUGUCUGCUACAUAUAUACUUGUGUCUGCUGCAAAGAUGGGAAGAUCUGUAGAGUGGGAAAGGAAAUCAAAUCUUGCUUACACACAGAAGGAUAUUGAUGUGGUUCGAGCUGAAUGGGCAAAUCAUGUUAUGAAGUUCUAACUUUGGUUCUGUUUAAGGUAGAUGAGUAGCACCAGGAACUGCUUUUGUGCAUUUAUAUAUAACUGAUGGAAAGUGUUGAUGAACCUAAAUUAUGCAUGCAGUUGCUUUGCCUAGCUACUCUUUCUUUACCUUAUAGGUUUUUGACUUAGUGCAAUAUUAGGUAAAUGAUCGAGAUCGAUGAGAUGGUUUUUUGGUUCUCUUGAUCAUUAUGUAACUGUUGGCUAGGUUUAGAGUUGGAACUAUGGAUUGUAUUUUGGAUGAUGUUGAUGCAAUUAAUGAAACGUAGCCAUCAUUUUCAA
Rosa chinensis is the source of this 1319-nucleotide long non-coding RNA. RefSeq lists it as uncharacterized. The transcript has 7 exons. The record is from RefSeq and is a predicted model, not a curated record. Lineage: Eukaryota; Viridiplantae; Streptophyta; Magnoliopsida; Rosales; Rosaceae.